UACGGGGGGAGCAAGCGUUGUUCGGAUUUACUGGGCGUAAGGGGCGCGUAGGCGGCCACCGCAAGUCGACUGUGAAAUCUCCGGGCUUAACCCGGAAAGGUCAGCCGAUACUGCGGGGCUAGAGUGCAGAAGGGGCAACUGGAAUUCUCGGUGUAGCGGUGAAAUGCGUAGAUAUCGAGAGGAACACCUGCGGCGAAGGCGGGUUGCUGGGCUGACACUGACGCUGAUGCGCGAAAGCUAGGGGAGCAAACGGG
RNAcentral lists this ribosomal RNA (254 nucleotides) under uncultured bacterium. Its description in RNAcentral is "partial 16S ribosomal RNA". It matches the Rfam family "Bacterial small subunit ribosomal RNA", at positions 524 to 776 of the family's 1533-position model. The record is from RNAcentral.